RNAcentral lists this ribosomal RNA (1233 nucleotides) under marine metagenome. Its description in RNAcentral is "bacterial LSU rRNA". It matches the Rfam family "Bacterial large subunit ribosomal RNA", at positions 1713 to 2925 of the family's 2925-position model. The record is from RNAcentral.
CUGUUCUAAGCGUACACCUUCUCUUAGAAGGUGUCUCUUUGUUAUGUGAAAUCACUUGCUGAUAGAGCAGGACAGAGUUGAAAAUACUAGGUGGCUGCGACUGUUUAUUAAAAACACAGCGCUCUGCGAACACGUGAGUGGACGUAUAGGGUGUGACUCCUGCCCGGUGCUUGAAGGUUAAUUGAUGAGGUUAGCGCUUGCGCGAAGCUUUUGAUCGAAGCCCAAGUAAACGGCGGCCGUAACUAUAACGGUCCUAAGGUAGCGAAAUUCCUUGUCGGGUAAGUUCCGACCUGCACGAAUGGAGUAACGACGGCCACACUGUCUCCACCCGAGACUCAGUGAAAUUGAAAUUGCUGUUAAGAUGCAGUAUACCCGCGGCCAGACGGAAAGACCCCGUGCACCUUUACUACAGCUUUGCAUUGAACUCUGAUCCUACUUGUGUAGGAUAGGUGGGAGGCUUUGAAGCUUUAACGCUAGUUAGAGUGGAGCCACCCUUGAAAUACCACCCUGGUAUGGUUGGGGUUCUAACCUUGGUCCGUAAUCCGGAUCGGGAACAAUGCAUGGUGGGUAGUUUGACUGGGGCGGUCUCCUCCUAAAGAGUAACGGAGGAGCGCAAAGGUAUCCUCAGCACGGUCGGACAUCGUGCAAUGAGCGCAAAGGUAAAAGGAUGCUUGACUGCGAGACUGACACGUCGAGCAGGUAGGAAACUAGGUCUUAGUGAUCCGGUGGUUCUGAGUGGAAGGACCAUCGCUCAACGGAUAAAAGGUACGCCGGGGAUAACAGGUUAAUACCCUCCAAGAGUUCACAUCGACGAGGGUGUUUGACACCUCGAUGUCGGCUCAUCACAUCCUGGGGCUGAAGCAGGUCCCAAGGGUAUGGCUGUUCGCCAUUUAAAGUGGUACGCGAGCUGGGUUUAGAACGUCGUGAGACAGUUCGGUCCCUAUCUACCGUGGGCGUUGGAGACUUGAGGGAAGCUGUUCUUAGUACGAGAGGACCGGAAUGGACACACCUCUGGUGUUUCGGUUGUCACGCCAGUGGCAUUGCCGAGUAGCUAUGUUUGGAAAGGAUAACCGCUGAAAGCAUCUAAGCGGGAAACCCCUCCCAAGAUUAGGUCUCCCUGAUUAUUUAAUAAUCCUAAAGAUCCCUCGAAGACUACGAGGUUGAUAGGCUAGGUGUGGAAGUACAGCAAUGUAUGAAGCUAACUAGUACUAAUUGAUCGUGAGGCUUGACCAU